Passer domesticus (house sparrow) is the source of this 495-nucleotide long non-coding RNA. RefSeq lists it as uncharacterized. NCBI's taxonomy places the organism in Eukaryota, Metazoa, Chordata, Aves, Passeriformes, Passeridae. The record is from RefSeq and is a predicted model, not a curated record. The transcript has 2 exons.
GGCUGUCCGAAGCAGGCGGAGGAUGUUGGAAUGGGUGUUGUUCAUAGUUGCUGUGGGGGAGUUCAUUGCUGACUGGCGUUCUUCAAUGGCCACACCAUGGAUGCAGCUGUAGAUACCCUGAAAUGAGAGAAAGAAAAGAGUUAAUGGCACUCACCCUGCUGAUGGAGAAGACUACACCAGGCUUGCCAGAGCAGACACCCAUGAAGCAGUGGCGGAAUUGCCAGUAGAAGAGAUGCUCACAGAUGAAGGUGAUGAGACUGAGGGCCAUGGCUGCUCCCAACAUGUAGAAGACACCUGCCAUGUUAUCUAUAUCCAGCUGGCUGCUCAUAACCUCAUUCUUCUCAUUGUGACAAAUGCCAGUGAGCCAGAGAGCUUCCAGCUCCUCCAUCUCCCCUAGAAUGACAGACAGGAGGAAGGAAACAGGUUAGAUAAUCCUGCAAUAGCUGAAGAGCUCAAACUGGGGCAGACUGAAAGCAAGAAGCUGAUCUAACGUAA